CACGUAGUUAGCCGGGGCUUCUUAGUCAGGUACCGUCUUUUUUCUUCCCUGCUGAUAGAGCCUUACAUACCGAAAUACUUCUUCACUCACGCGGCGUCGCUGCAUCAGGGUUUCCCCCAUUGUGCAAUAUUCCCCACUGCUGCCUCCCGUAGGAGUUUGGGCCGUGUCUCAGUCCCAAUGUGGCCGUUCACCCUCUCAGGCCGGCUACUGAUCGUCGCCUUGGUAGGCCGUUACCCCACCAACCAGCUAAUCAGACGCGGGCUCAUCUUAUACUGCCGGAGUUUUUCACACAGAAACAUGCGUUCCCGUGCGCUUAUGCGGUAUUAGCAGUCAUUUCUAACUGUUAUCCCCCUGUAUAAGGCAGAUUACCCACGUGUUACUCACCCGUCCGCCGCUAAGUCAAUUUCGAUUCCAUCCGAAAACUUCCUCAAAAUCGCUUCGCUCGACUUGCAUGUGUUAGGCACGCCGCCAGCGUUCAUCCUGAGCCAGGAUCAAACUCU
Molecule: ribosomal RNA, 500 nt
Filed under: uncultured Eubacteriales bacterium
Lineage: Bacteria; Bacillati; Bacillota; Clostridia; Eubacteriales
Description: uncultured Clostridiales bacterium partial 16S ribosomal RNA
Source: RNAcentral